Hemicordylus capensis (graceful crag lizard) is the source of this 737-nucleotide long non-coding RNA. RefSeq lists it as uncharacterized. Lineage: Eukaryota; Metazoa; Chordata; Lepidosauria; Squamata; Cordylidae. The transcript is spliced from 5 exons. The record is from RefSeq and is a predicted model, not a curated record.
GACAGGUUCUGGAUAAUCCUGGGGAAAUACUGUUCACAUUAGAUGAGAGCUUUAUAUUGACCAAAGAGGAUUCCAAUGACCUUCCAGAGACCUUGACAGAGACUGUGACUUGGACACUGGACAGACGGCUCCUGACAGGCUAGGGGUUUCGGUUGUGCUCUCAGGACAUUGUGCAUAAGUACAGCAUUCCUUUUUUUAAAAGAAGUGUUUCUGGAGAAGACUCACGUCCCACUACUAAAGCAGUUCAAGCUAUUGCAUAUAUUUUGGAGGUCUCCUUUGCAAACCUCUAGUGAAUGUCCAGUUCAGGGUGUCUAAUUCGACCCAGGCAUAAAGAGAAGCAGGAUGAACAGAGAGAAAAGCCAGCAAGAAGAGAUCAUGAUUUGGCCCAUGAAUAUAAGAUUCCCUUAUCCUGUUAUCAUAGUCAAAGAAGACCAAGAGAGAGAGGAUCUCUUUUUGAAUAAAAGCAGAAUGGGAGUGUGGGAUCCUUAUAAUUUACUAGACAUGUUACUUUCCUGAAGACAGUAACCUACUAAGCUAAAAGUCACCGAUGGGCCUGAAGAGAACUCUGGUAAGAUACACACUAUGCAUGUGCUAGCAGGCAGUGAAAUACAGACGUGUUUUGAUUGAUUUGUGUGCUGCAGGGGAAGCGGGGGGGAAGACAUUUUCUUUGCUCCAAAUGAUUCAAAGUGACAUUCUACUGAUAUCUGCUGAAAGUCAUAAUUUUAUACACCAUGUUU